This 253-nucleotide ribosomal RNA is filed under the name uncultured bacterium. Its description in RNAcentral is "partial 16S ribosomal RNA". It matches the Rfam family "Bacterial small subunit ribosomal RNA", at positions 524 to 776 of the family's 1533-position model. The record is from RNAcentral.
UACGAAGGGUGCAAACGUUGCUCGGAAUUAUUGGGCGUAAAGCGCACGUAGGCGGCAUCGCAAGUCCCAUGUGAAAGCCCACGGCUUAACCGUGGAAGUGCAUGGGAAACUGCAGUGCUUGAGUACUUAAGAGGAUCGCGGAAUUCCCGGUGUAGAGGUGAAAUUCGUAGAUAUCGGGAGGAACACCAGUGGCGAAGGCGGCGACCUGGGCAGAUACUGACACUGAGGUGCGAAAGCGUGGGGAGCAAACAGG